AAAUUGAAGAGUUUGAUCAUGGCUCAGAUUGAACGCUGGCGGCAGGCCUAACACAUGCAAGUCGAACGGUAACAGAAAGCAGCUUGCUGCUUUGCUGACGAGUGGCGGACGGGUGAGUAAUGUCUGGGAAACUGCCUGAUGGAGGGGGAUAACUACUGGAAACGGUAGCUAAUACCGCAUAACGUCGCAAGACCAAAGAGGGGGACCUUCGGGCCUCUUGCCAUCGGAUGUGCCCAGAUGGGAUUAGCUUGUUGGUGGGGUAACGGCUCACCAAGGCGACGAUCCCUAGCUGGUCUGAGAGGAUGACCAGCCACACUGGAACUGAGACACGGUCCAGACUCCUACGGGAGGCAGCAGUGGGGAAUAUUGCACAAUGGGCGCAAGCCUGAUGCAGCCAUGCCGCGUGUAUGAAGAAGGCCUUCGGGUUGUAAAGUACUUUCAGCGGGGAGGAAGGGAGUAAAGUUAAUACCUUUGCUCAUUGACGUUACCCGCAGAAGAAGCACCGGCUAACUCCGUGCCAGCAGCCGCGGUAAUACGGAGGGUGCAAGCGUUAAUCGGAAUUACUGGGCGUAAAGCGCACGCAGGCGGUUUGUUAAGUCAGAUGUGAAAUCCCCGGGCUCAACCUGGGAACUGCAUCUGAUACUGGCAAGCUUGAGUCUCGUAGAGGGGGUAGAAUUCCAGGUGUAGCGGUGAAAUGCGUAGAGAUCUGGAGGAAUACCGGUGGCGAAGGCGGCCCCCUGGACGAAGACUGACGCUCAGGUGCGAAAGCGUGGGGAGCAAACAGGAUUAGAUACCCUGGUAGUCCACGCCGUAAACGAUGUCGACUUGGAGGUUGUGCCCUUGAGGCGUGGCUUCCGGAGCUAACGCGUUAAGUCGACCGCCUGGGGAGUACGGCCGCAAGGUUAAAACUCAAAUGAAUUGACGGGGGCCCGCACAAGCGGUGGAGCAUGUGGUUUAAUUCGAUGCAACGCGAAGAACCUUACCUGGUCUUGACAUCCACGGAAGUUUUCAGAGAUGAGAAUGUGCCUUCGGGAACCGUGAGACAGGUGCUGCAUGGCUGUCGUCAGCUCGUGUUGUGAAAUGUUGGGUUAAGUCCCGCAACGAGCGCAACCCUUAUCCUUUGUUGCCAGCGGUCCGGCCGGGAACUCAAAGGAGACUGCCAGUGAUAAACUGGAGGAAGGUGGGGAUGACGUCAAGUCAUCAUGGCCCUUACGACCAGGGCUACACACGUGCUACAAUGGCGCAUACAAAGAGAAGCGACCUCGCGAGAGCAAGCGGACCUCAUAAAGUGCGUCGUAGUCCGGAUUGGAGUCUGCAACUCGACUCCAUGAAGUCGGAAUCGCUAGUAAUCGUGGAUCAGAAUGCCACGGUGAAUACGUUCCCGGGCCUUGUACACACCGCCCGUCACACCAUGGGAGUGGGUUGCAAAAGAAGUAGGUAGCUUAACCUUCGGGAGGGCGCUUACCACUUUGUGAUUCAUGACUGGGGUGAAGUCGUAACAAGGUAACCGUAGGGGAACCUGCGGUUGGAUCACCUCCUUA
This 1541-nucleotide ribosomal RNA is filed under the name Escherichia coli. Its description in RNAcentral is "bacterial SSU rRNA". It matches the Rfam family "Bacterial small subunit ribosomal RNA". Lineage: Bacteria; Pseudomonadati; Pseudomonadota; Gammaproteobacteria; Enterobacterales; Enterobacteriaceae. The record is from RNAcentral.